ACUUCCAGAACCAGUUCCUCUGCAAACUUCGUACAAACAAGACAUGGGUUUCCUGGCCUACCUCGCUGUGACAGCUGUCGGUGCAGCAGUGUUAGUAGUCCCGGGUCUGGGUGCCUUGGUAUUACCGUGGCUGGGGUUCGGCACCGCAGGUGUGGUUCCUGGCACUAUAGCCGCUUCUGCCCAAAGCUGGAUAGGAGGGACCGUGGUAGCUGGCUCUAUCUUUGCCGCCCUCCAAGCCUUGGCCACGCGAAAUAACGGAAGGAAAUAAAUCUCAGGUGUCGGAGGUGAAAUUGAAAAGCAAUUUGAAGGUGUUGGAGUGCCACCAAGCCAAGUGCAUUUAUAUAUUGUGAAUUUUUAUUCCAUACCACCAGUGCUUUGUAUUCAUUAUUUCUUAACUCUUGUGUUUUGUACUGCCAAAAAUACAUUUUAAAAAUUGUUUUCAA
Long non-coding RNA from Macrosteles quadrilineatus (aster leafhopper), 443 nucleotides. RefSeq lists it as uncharacterized. The record is from RefSeq and is a predicted model, not a curated record. NCBI's taxonomy places the organism in Eukaryota, Metazoa, Arthropoda, Insecta, Hemiptera, Cicadellidae. The transcript is spliced from 3 exons.